This is a long non-coding RNA of Lolium perenne, 1662 nucleotides long. RefSeq lists it as uncharacterized. NCBI's taxonomy places the organism in Eukaryota, Viridiplantae, Streptophyta, Magnoliopsida, Poales, Poaceae. The record is from RefSeq and is a predicted model, not a curated record.
CCAUACUUUUCAAUGAAAAUUACUGUUGCUGCCACCGCUUAGUUAACGUGAUAAGAAUUUCGGUCCAAAUAAUUCGGUCGAGCGGCCCUUUCCCUCUCUCUGUUUUCCUCUCUGUUUCUCUCCCUUCGGCCGCCGAAGACCGGCCUCCGUCCAUCCCCAACUCGGGAAAGAGGCCCCCGCCGCCGAGAACCUAGCGCCGCCUGUCUCCAAAUCCUCCUGGGCGAGAACCCGGCCUUUCAGAAGUAUUCAGGAGAGUGCAAGCGGAGGUGGUUCCCCCACAGCGCCGGCGCGCUCGGUUUCAUCGGGUCCGUCGCAGAGGUGGCCGUGUGUCUGCCUGCCGUCACGAGAUGGACAACUUACAAUUGGGCAACAAUAGAAUUUUAGCGAUGAUGAAUGCGGAAUUCGGAUACAUGAAUUAGAGCGGCACACCAGAUUAUAGCCCAAUGGGAGAACAACAUAAGAUGGCAAAAUGUUUCUGGAUAUGCAAAACCAAGAUUCAGAAAGAAGCCUCUGCAAGAGGAGACAAAUUGGUUGGCGAGAACAUGGUGCUCAAGCUGAUUAGUUAUGCGACAUGUCGCAACCUUCAUGACAUGUCCCACCUGCAGGGGGAGCUCGCGAAGGCCAGGGCUGAACUCGCGGCGGCGAGGGUGGUGAUGGCGGUGGCGCACCCGGGCGCCGUCAUCCACCCCAUCAACUAUGAGGACGACGACGACAUGGGCUUCCUCCCCAACGACGCGGAUGUGAGCGACGCUGCUCGCGUCGUUCGAGAGCCUCUUGAAGCGGCCGUAGGCUACGGCGGCGGAGGCACGCCGCCAUACACGCGAAGGAGGCGUUCGCUGAGGAGCAGACGACCAUGUACGGCCGCCAUGCCGAUUAGCUAGAGGUGGACGCGGCGACGGAGACAUGGGCGAUGGUGGCGGAGGUUGCGCAGGGCAGGGCUGAGGCGGACGCAGACGCGGAGUCGGUGGCGGCGCCCAUGUCCCACCUGCAGGGGAAGCUCGCGAAGGCCAAGGAGAAACUCGCGGCAGCGAGGGUGGUGAUGGCGGCGGCGCACCCGGCCGCCGUCAUCCACGCCAUCGACGACGAGGAUGACGACGAGAUGGGCUUCCUCCCCAACGACGAGGAUGUGAGCGACGUUGCUCACGUCGUUCGAGAGCCUCCUGAGGCGGGAGUCGUCUGCAGGCUCUAGCGGCGGAGGCGCAAACUCGCGGCGAUGCGCUCCGACCUGGCGGAGGUCGCGUGGAUGGUCCGGGACCACACACAGAUCGAUUGCGAGAACCGCGAGCUACAGAAGGACAUCGUGGCGAGGGACGAGGUGGUUGCGGCAGUGGUGAGGGACAAAUCCCGCUACCACAUCGACCUAGAGGCAGUCGCGAAGGAGGAGGUGGCUCGCGCGGAGGCUUUGGAGGAGUACGCGCGCGUGGCAGCGGAGGAGGAGCUCGCCGCCAGCCCUAGGAAAAACUAUAUAAAAAUUAAUUGUAGCAACUUUUGGUGUUCUCCCAGUGCAACACGGACACUUUUGCUAGUUAUCAUCUCAUAUAUGCAUCUUAUUUUAGCAUCAUCUCAUCAUCCUUCUCCAUAGAUGUUGAUAGCUAUCAUCGACAUGGUGGUUCUGUUGCCCAAAUAUCUUUUGUCAAGUGCUUAUAGUCACCUUCUAUCUCA